This 28-nucleotide small RNA is filed under the name Bombyx mori (domestic silkworm). RNAcentral describes it as "ovarian small RNA-10251". The record is from RNAcentral. Lineage: Eukaryota; Metazoa; Arthropoda; Insecta; Lepidoptera; Bombycidae.
AACAGUCGAUAGUCCCUACGAGGGCUGA